GACGAACGCUGGCGGCGUGCUUAACACAUGCAAGUCGAACGAAGUGGCGAAAGGGUGAGUAACGCGUAAUCAACCUGCCCUUCAGAGGGGGACAACAGUUGGAAACGACUGCUAAUACCGCAUACAGAUGGCGGGGAUUGCGGCUGAUUAGCUAGUUGGCGGGGUAACGGCCCACCAAGGCGAUUAUAAGUAGCCGGUCUGAGAGGAAGGACGGCCACAUUGGGACUGAGACACGGCCCAGACUCCUACAGGAGGCAGCAGUGGGGAAUCUUCCGCAAUGGACGAAAGUCUGACGGGGCAACGCCGCGUGAGUGAUGACGGCCGUCGGGUUGUAAAGCUCUGUUAAUCGGGACGCGGUACCGGAAUAGAAAGCCACGGCUAACUACGUGCCAGCAGCCGCGGUAAUUC
Molecule: ribosomal RNA, 408 nt
Filed under: uncultured bacterium
Lineage: Bacteria
Description: partial 16S ribosomal RNA
Rfam family: Bacterial small subunit ribosomal RNA
Source: RNAcentral